AAAAAAACAAACCCUAGGUUUCCGUAUCCAACGUUUGACUGUUUGUCUUAUAUGAAUUUUUUUUAUAAUUAUUAUUUUCAUUGUUGUUAGAUGAUAAAACAUGAUUAAUACUUUAUGCGUGACUUGUCUUUUUAAUUUUUUUCAUAUUUUUUUAAAUAAGAUGGACGGCUAAACGUUGGAUACGGAAACCCAUGGUUUGUCUUGUU
Molecule: microRNA precursor, 206 nt
Organism: Oryza sativa Japonica Group (Japanese rice)
Lineage: Eukaryota; Viridiplantae; Streptophyta; Magnoliopsida; Poales; Poaceae
Rfam family: MIR812 microRNA precursor family
Source: Rfam